UCUGUCUGCACAGACACUCCGUGCUGGGAGGAGGACACCCUGCCACGCUGCUGGAGGGAAGAAGAAGACAUCUUCCCUCCCUUUCUGGCACUAAUGGCGUUCGCAGCAAAGGUGGUGCUGUGGUUGCAGAUACAGGGUAACCACUGGCUCCCUUUACCCAGAUCCCAAGAAUCCUGAAGUCAUUAUUAUGUAAGUUCUGCUCUUAGAUGCCCUUGGACGCUGCUCUGCUGCACAAACACAGGGGGCAGUCUGGCCGAGGCCUGUGAUGGAGGCCCUAGAAGUCUUCAAACCCUGAAGUAGCUCCUCCGAAUGACCAGCUCAGUGGCGUGUGACCAGGGUCAGCAGCCAGGAUAUGGGGACAGAGACCACUGAGGCUUCUGAAAAGUGCAGAGGGCUGGUCAAGGUGAGCCUGGGCAUGCAGGCACCCAGCUUUGAAGACAUAAUCCUAUGGUCUAAAUGUUUGUGUUCUCCCAAAUUCAGACCUUGAAGUGCUAACUCCCAAUAUGAUGGCAUUUGGAGAUGGGGUCUUUGGCAGGUACUGAGGACACUGAGUUGUGUCCUCACGAUGGGAUUAGUGCACUCAUAAGAAGAGAGCAUCUGCUCUCCAUCGCUGUCAUAGGAGGACACAGGAAGGUGAUGGCCUAUGAAACAGAAGGAGGGCUCUCAGACUUCCUGGUCUGAUCUCAGA
Long non-coding RNA from Manis javanica (Malayan pangolin), 688 nucleotides. RefSeq lists it as uncharacterized. The record is from RefSeq and is a predicted model, not a curated record. Lineage: Eukaryota; Metazoa; Chordata; Mammalia; Pholidota; Manidae.